This 248-nucleotide long non-coding RNA is filed under the name Elaeis guineensis (African oil palm). RNAcentral's name for it is "long non-coding RNA (EGUI_LNC021321)". The record is from RNAcentral. Lineage: Eukaryota; Viridiplantae; Streptophyta; Magnoliopsida; Arecales; Arecaceae.
UAAUUAACUCAAUUUGAUGGGGUAAUUAUUUUUAGAUCAAGUCCAAUUGAAUUGGAUUCAGUUUGGAUUGACCCGAUUAGGUUAAGUGUUGAUCUAAUCGCUAAGGUGGUUUAGUCUCUGAUUUGAUCAGAGGUUAGGCUUAGUUAAUUCUUGAUUUGAUUAGGAUUUUAUUGAGCCUAAUUAAGCCUAAUUGUGUUGGGUUUAAUCUGGUCUAAUUGUGCUUAACCUAUUUUAAUUAGCUUGGCNNN